GUAGGUGGCAAGCGUUGUCCGGGAAUUAUUGGGCGUAAAGCGCGCGCAGGCGGUUCUUUAAGUCUGAUGUGAAAGCCCACGGGCUCAACCGUGGAGGGUCAUUGGAAACUGGAGAACUUGAGUACAGAAGAGGAAAGCGGAAUUCCACGUGUAGCGGUGAAAUGCGUGGAGAUGUGGAGGAACACCAGUGGCGAAGGCGGCUUUCUGGUCUGUAACUGACGCUGAGGCGCGAAAGCGUGGGGAGCAAACAGGAUUAGAUACCCUGGUAGUCCACGCCGUAAACGAUGAGUGCUAAGUGUUAGGGGGUUUCCGCCCCUUAGUGCUGCAGCUAACGCAUUAAGCACUCCGCCUGGGGAGUACGGCCGCAAAGGCUG
This 374-nucleotide ribosomal RNA is filed under the name uncultured organism. RNAcentral describes it as "partial 16S ribosomal RNA". It matches the Rfam family "Bacterial small subunit ribosomal RNA", at positions 527 to 896 of the family's 1533-position model. The record is from RNAcentral.